RNAcentral lists this long non-coding RNA (209 nucleotides) under Eutrema salsugineum. Its description in RNAcentral is "long non-coding RNA (ESAL_LNC000819)". Lineage: Eukaryota; Viridiplantae; Streptophyta; Magnoliopsida; Brassicales; Brassicaceae. The record is from RNAcentral.
UGUAAGAGUGGAAUAGCUAGGGGAACGAAUGGAAAUGAAUUAAGUCUUGGAUGUGAAAAGAUAAGCUCUGAAAUGAAAAGAAGCCAAAGGCUCAAGUGAUCUGAAACGAAAAUGAAAGAAGCUAUGUGCUAUGAAAGAAAAGAGCUGUGUGAAUAAGUGAAAACCAAGGCUUGAAAAUAAAAGAAAAGGGCCCCUAGUGAAAAGAAAAC